GCACUUCAGCGGAUUUAAGCGUCUUCCGUGGCUAGGAACUCUAUGAUUACGACUGUUUUAGGAGCAUGGAGACCAAUAAUGGAUGAACUUGAGCUAAUCUGGGCGUCUUCCAUGGCAUGACCUCUCUGGUUGCAUUCAUGGGUUAGGAGCACAAAGACCAUGACGGUUGCAUUUGAGCUGAUUUAAGCAUCUUUCAUGGCCACUAGCUCUAUCGUUUCAUCUAUGCAUUAAAAGAUGGCGACCAA
Molecule: long non-coding RNA, 245 nt
Organism: Rhinolophus ferrumequinum (greater horseshoe bat)
Lineage: Eukaryota; Metazoa; Chordata; Mammalia; Chiroptera; Rhinolophidae
Exons: 3
Source: RefSeq, a predicted model, not a curated record